RNAcentral lists this ribosomal RNA (714 nucleotides) under uncultured Staphylococcus sp. RNAcentral describes it as "bacterial SSU rRNA". It matches the Rfam family "Bacterial small subunit ribosomal RNA", at positions 64 to 759 of the family's 1533-position model. The record is from RNAcentral. Lineage: Bacteria; Bacillati; Bacillota; Bacilli; Caryophanales; Staphylococcaceae.
GAGCGAACAGACGAGGAGCUUGCUCCUCUGACGUUAGCGGCGGACGGGUGAGAUAACACGUGGAUAACCUACCUAUAAGACUGGGAUAACUUCGGGAAACCGGAGCUAAUACCGGAUAAUAUAUUGAACCGCAUGGUUCAAUAGUGAAAGACGGUUUUGCUGUCACUUAUAGAUGGAUCCGCGCCGCAUUAGCUAGUUGGUAAGGUAACGGCUUACCAAGGCAACGAUGCGUAGCCGACCUGAGAGGGUGAUCGGCCACACUGGAACUGAGACACGGUCCAGACUCCUACGGGAGGCAGCAGUAGGGAAUCUUCCGCAAUGGGCGAAAGCCUGACGGAGCAACGCCGCGUGAGUGAUGAAGGUCUUCGGAUCGUAAAACUCUGUUAUUAGGGAAGAACAAAUGUGUAAGUAACUAUGCACGUCUUGACGGUACCUAAUCAGAAAGCCACGGCUAACUACGUGCCAGCAGCCGCGGUAAUACGUAGGUGGCAAGCGUUAUCCGGAAUUAUUGGGCGUAAAGCGCGCGUAGGCGGUUUUUUAAGUCUGAUGUGAAAGCCCACGGCUCAACCGUGGAGGGUCAUUGGAAACUGAAAAACUUGAGUGCAGAAGAGGAAAGUGGAAUUCCAUGUGUAGCGGUGAAAUGCGCAGAGAUAUGGAGGAACACCAGUGGCGAAGGCGACUUUCUGGUCUGUAACUGACGCUGAUGUGCGAAAG